CAAUAGCGUAUAUUAAAGUUGUUGCGGUUAAAAGCUCGUAGUUGGAUUUCUGUUGAGGAAGUCCGGUCCGCACUUUGUGCGUGAUCUGGUUCUGCCUCGGCAUCCUCGCGGGGAACGCGCUGCGCUUGAUUGCGUGGUGCGGUAUUCGCGACUUUUACUUUGAGGAAAUUAGAGUGUUCACGGCAGGCUAUCGCCUUGAAUACGUUAGCAUGGAAUAAUAAUAUAGGACCUUGGUUCUAUUUUGUUGGUUUCUAGGACCGAAGUAAUGAUUAAUAGGGACAGUUGGGGGCAUUAGUAUUUAAUUGUCAGAGGUGAAAUUCUUGGAUUUAUGAAAGACUAACUACUGCGAAAGCAUUUGCCAAGGAUGUUUUCAUUAAUCAAGAACGAAAGUUAGGGGAUCGAAGAUGAUUAGAUACCAU
RNAcentral lists this ribosomal RNA (419 nucleotides) under uncultured eukaryote. RNAcentral's name for it is "bacterial SSU rRNA". It matches the Rfam family "Eukaryotic small subunit ribosomal RNA", at positions 592 to 1018 of the family's 1831-position model. The record is from RNAcentral.